This 492-nucleotide ribosomal RNA is filed under the name uncultured bacterium. RNAcentral's name for it is "partial 16S ribosomal RNA". It matches the Rfam family "Bacterial small subunit ribosomal RNA", at positions 29 to 507 of the family's 1533-position model. The record is from RNAcentral.
AGUGAACGCUGGCGGUAGGCCUAACACAUGCAAGUCGAACGGCAGCACAGUAAGAGCUUGCUCUUACGGGUGGCGAGUGGCGGACGGGUGAGGAAUACAUCGGAAUCUACUUUUUCGUGGGGGAUAACGUAGGGAAACUUACGCUAAUACCGCAUACGACCUACGGGUGAAAGCAGGGGAUCUUCGGACCUUGCGCGAUUGAAUGAGCCGAUGUCGGAUUAGCUAGUUGGCGGGGUAAAGGCCCACCAAGUCGACGAUCCGUGGCUGGUCUGAGAGGAUGAUCAGCCGCACUGGAGCUGAGACACGGUCCAGACGCCUACGGGAGGCAGCAGUGGGGAAUAUUGGACAAUGGUCGCAAGCCUUAUCCAGCCAUACCGCGUGGGUGAAGAAGGCCUUCGGGUUGUAAAGCCCUUUUGUUGGGAAAGAAAAGCAGCAGGUUAAUACCCCGCUGUUCUGACGGUACCCAAAGAAUAAGCACCGGCUAACUUCGUG